RNAcentral lists this transfer RNA (74 nucleotides) under Caudoviricetes sp. RNAcentral's name for it is "tRNA-Met". The record is from RNAcentral. Lineage: Duplodnaviria; Heunggongvirae; Uroviricota; Caudoviricetes.
UGGGGAUUAGGAUUAGAGGCAGGCUGUUACGUUCAUGACGGCAGCUCGCGGGUUCAACUCCCGCAUCCCCACCA